UCGGCGAGCGGCGAACGGCUGAGUAACGCGUAGGAAUUUGCCCCAAAGUGAGGGAUAACUGCCCGAAAGGGUAGCUAAUACCGCAUAUGGUCUUCGGAUUAAAGGAUUUAUCAUGCUUUGGGAGAAGCCUGCGUUGGAUUAGGUAGUUGGUAGGGUAAUGGCCUACCAAGCCGACGAUCCAUAGCUGGUCUGAGAGGAUGAUCAGCCAGACUGGAACUGAGACACGGUCCAGACUCCUACGGGAGGCAGCAGUGAGGAAUCUUCCACAAUGGGCGAAAGCCUGAUGGAGCAACGCCGCGUGAAGGAUGAAGGCCUUCGGGUUGUAAACUUCUUUUAUGAGUGAAGAAUAUGACGGUAACUCAUGAAUAAGCACCGGCUAACUACGUGCCAGCAGCCGCGGUCAUACGUAGGGUGCGAGCAUUAUCCGGAGUGACUGGGCGUAAAGAGUUGCGUAGGCGGUUUAAUAAGUGAAUAGUGAAACCUGGUGGCUCAACCAUACAGACUAUUAUUCAAACUGUUAAACUCGAGAAUGGUAGAGGUAACUGGAAUUUCUUGUGUAGGAGUGAAAUCCGUAGAUAUAAGAAGGAACACCGAUGGCGUAGGCAGGUUACUGGGCCAUUUCUGACGCUAAGGCACGAAAGCGUGGGGAGCGAACCGGAUUAGAUACCCGGGUAGUCCACGCCGUAAACGAUGGAUACUAGCUGUUGGAGGUAUCGACCCCUUCAGUAGCGAAGCUAACGCGUUAAGUAUCCCGCCUGUGGAGUACGGCCGCAAGGCUAAAACAUAAAGGAAUUGACGGGGACCCGCACAAGCGGUGGAUUAUGUUCUUUAAUUCGAUGAUAACCGAAGAACCUUACCAGGGCUUGACAUCCAGGGAAGGUCUAUGAAAGUAGACUGUGCCUUUUGGAACCCUGUGACAGGUGAUGCAUGGCCGUCGUCAGCUCGUGUCGUGAGAUGUUAGGUUAAGUCCUUCAACGAGCGCAACCCUUGUGAAUAGUUGUAUUUUUCUAUUCAGACUGCCCCGGUAACGGGGAGGAAGGAGGGGAUGAUGUCAGGUCAGUAUUUCCCUUACGUCCUGGGCUAGAAACGUAAUACAAUGGCUAGUACAAUGCGCAGCGAAGCCGCGAGGUGAAGCAAAUCGCAUCAAAGCUAGUCCCAGUUCGGAUUGCAGGCUGAAACUCGCCUGCAUGAAGUCGGAAUCGCUAGUAAUCGCAAAUCAGCAAGUUGCGGUGAAUACGUUCCCGGGUCUUGUACACACCG
Molecule: ribosomal RNA, 1260 nt
Filed under: uncultured Candidatus Saccharibacteria bacterium
Lineage: Bacteria; Candidatus Saccharimonadota
Description: bacterial SSU rRNA
Rfam family: Bacterial small subunit ribosomal RNA
Source: RNAcentral